AACGAACGCUGGCGGCGUGGAUAAGACAUGCAAGUCGAACGGAAUAACAUCUGUAGCAAUACAGGUGUUAUUUAGCGGCGAACGGGUGCGUAACACGUGGGGAAUCUGCCGAAAAGUGGGGGAUAGCUCGCCGAAAGGCGAAUUAAUACCGCAUAUGGUCAGUGAAGACAUCUUCACAACACCAAAGCCGGGGAAACCUGGCGCUUUUUGAUGACCCCGCGGCCUAUCAGCUAGUUGGNGAGGUAACGGCUCACCAAGGCUAUGACGGUAGCUGGUCUGAGNGGACGACCAGUCACACUGGAACUGAGACACGGUCCAGACACC
RNAcentral lists this ribosomal RNA (324 nucleotides) under uncultured bacterium. Its description in RNAcentral is "bacterial SSU rRNA". It matches the Rfam family "Bacterial small subunit ribosomal RNA", at positions 29 to 339 of the family's 1533-position model. The record is from RNAcentral.